UGGGGAAUAUUGCACAAUGGGGGAAACCCUGAUGCAGCGACGCCGCGUGAGCGAUGAAGUAUUUCGGUAUGUAAAGCUCUAUCAGCAGGGAAGAAAAUGACGGUACCUGACUAAGAAGCCCCGGCUAACUACGUGCCAGCAGCCGCGGUAAUACGUAGGGGGCAAGCGUUAUCCGGAUUUACUGGGUGUAAAGGGAGCGUAGACGGCAUGGCAAGCCAGAUGUGAAAGCCCGGGGCUCAACCCCGGGACUGCAUUUGGAACUGUCAGGCUAGAGUGUCGGAGAGGAAAGCGGAAUUCCUAGUGUAGCGGUGAAAUGCGUAGAUAUUAGGAGGAACACCAGUGGCGAAGGCGGCUUUCUGGACGAUGACUGACGUUGAGGCUCGAAAGCGUGGGGAGCAAACA
RNAcentral lists this ribosomal RNA (402 nucleotides) under uncultured bacterium. Its description in RNAcentral is "bacterial SSU rRNA". It matches the Rfam family "Bacterial small subunit ribosomal RNA", at positions 355 to 774 of the family's 1533-position model. RNAcentral also lists the same sequence under 2 other names. The record is from RNAcentral.